UACGGAGGGUGCAAGCGUUGCUCGGAAUUAUUGGGCGUAAAGGGUAGGUAGGUGGUCUCAUUUGUCUGGGGUGAAAGCCUUGAGCUUAACUCAGGAAGUGCCCCAGAAACGGUGAGACUAGAGUCCUGGAGAGGGUCGUGGAAUUCCCGGUGUAGCGGUGAAAUGCGUAGAGAUCGGGAGGAACACCAGAGGCGAAGGCGGCGACCUGGACAGGCACUGACACUCAACUACGAAAGCGUGGGGAGCAAACAGG
Molecule: ribosomal RNA, 253 nt
Filed under: uncultured bacterium
Lineage: Bacteria
Description: partial 16S ribosomal RNA
Rfam family: Bacterial small subunit ribosomal RNA
Source: RNAcentral